This 636-nucleotide ribosomal RNA is filed under the name uncultured Methanosarcina sp. RNAcentral describes it as "bacterial SSU rRNA". It matches the Rfam family "Archaeal small subunit ribosomal RNA", at positions 507 to 1142 of the family's 1478-position model. Lineage: Archaea; Methanobacteriati; Methanobacteriota; Methanomicrobia; Methanosarcinales; Methanosarcinaceae. The record is from RNAcentral.
UGCCUAAAGGGGCCGUAGCCGGUUUGGUCAGUCCUCCGGGAAAUCUGACGGCUCAACCGUUAGGCUUUCGGGGGAUACUGCCAGGCUUGGAACCGGGAGAGGUAAGAGGUACUACAGGGGUAGGAGUGAAAUCUUGUAAUCCCUGUGGGACCACCUGUGGCGAAGGCGUCUUACCAGAACGGGUUCGACGGUGAGGGACGAAAGCUGGGGGCACGAACCGGAUUAGAUACCCGGGUAGUCCCAGCCGUAAACGAUGCUCGCUAGGUGUCAGGCAUGGCGCGACCGUGUCUGGUGCCGCAGGGAAGCCGUGAAGCGAGCCACCUGGGAAGUACGGCCGCAAGGCUGAAACUUAAAGGAAUUGGCGGGGGAGCACAACAACGGGUGGAGCCUGCGGUUUAAUUGGACUCAACGCCGGACAACUCACCGGGGGCGACAGCAAUAUGUAGGCCAAGCUGAAGACUUUGCCUGAAUCGCUGAGAGGAGGUGCAUGGCCGUCGCCAGUUCGUACUGUGAAGCAUCCUGUUAAGUCAGGCAACGAGCGAGACCCGUGCCCACUGUUACCAGCAUAUCCUCCGGGAUGAUGGGUACUCUGUGGGGACCGCCGGUGUUAAAUCGGAGGAAGGUGCGGGCCACGGU